This 496-nucleotide ribosomal RNA is filed under the name uncultured bacterium. RNAcentral's name for it is "partial 16S ribosomal RNA". It matches the Rfam family "Bacterial small subunit ribosomal RNA", at positions 30 to 523 of the family's 1533-position model. The record is from RNAcentral.
AUUGAACGCUGGCGGAAUGCUUUACACAUGCAAGUCGAACGGUAGAGGGGGCAACCCCUCGAGAGUGGCGAACGGGUGAGUAAUAUAUCGGAACGUGCCCAGUCGUGGGGGAUAACGUAGCGAAAGUUACGCUAAUCACGCAUACUAUCUCAGGAGGAAAGCGGGGGAUCGCAAGACCUCGCGCGAUUGGAGCGGCCGAUAUCAGAUUAGGUAGUUGGUGGGGUAAAGGCUCACCAAGCCAACGAUCUGUAGCUGGUCUGAGAGGACGACCAGCCACACUGGAACUGAGACACGGUCCAGACUCCUACGGGAGGCAGCAGUGGGGAAUUUUGGACAAUGGACGCAAGUCUGAUCCAGCCAUUCCGCGUGCAGGAUGAAGGCCCUCGGGUUGUAAACUGCUUUUGUACGGAACGAAAAGGUCUCUCUUAAUACGGGGGACUCAUGACGGUACCGUAAGAAUAAGCACCGGCUAACUACGUGCCAGCCGCCGCCGUAA